GGAGUUAGGAAAUGUAAGUGUGCUAAUAUCGUGCUUAUUUGACAAAGGCUCCAAAGGAAGCCACGGCUAACUCUAUGCCAGCAGCCGCGGUAAUACAGAGGUGGCGAGCGUUGUUCGGAAUUAUUGGGCGUAAAGAGCACGUAGGUGGGUUUGCAAGUCAGACGUGAAAGCCUUCUGUUCAACGGAAGAAUUGCAUCUGAAACUGCUAAUCUUGAGUAUAGGAGGGGAGAGUGGAACUUCUG
Molecule: ribosomal RNA, 242 nt
Filed under: uncultured Planctomycetales bacterium
Lineage: Bacteria; Pseudomonadati; Planctomycetota; Planctomycetia; Planctomycetales
Description: partial 16S ribosomal RNA
Rfam family: Bacterial small subunit ribosomal RNA
Source: RNAcentral